GAAUGGAGAUGAUCUAUCCUAUGAGGUCC
RNAcentral lists this non-coding RNA (29 nucleotides) under Rattus norvegicus (Norway rat). Lineage: Eukaryota; Metazoa; Chordata; Mammalia; Rodentia; Muridae. The record is from RNAcentral.